Molecule: ribosomal RNA, 423 nt
Filed under: uncultured bacterium
Lineage: Bacteria
Description: bacterial SSU rRNA
Rfam family: Bacterial small subunit ribosomal RNA
Source: RNAcentral
GAUGAACGCUGGCGGCGUGCCUAAUACAUGCAAGUCGAACGCAUUGUGGUUGAAAUGAUAUGAAGAACUUGUUCAGAUUUGAUUUUCAACAUUGCAAUGAGUGGCGAACGGGUGAGUAACACGUGGGAAACCUACCUCUUAGCAGGGGAUAACAUUUGGAAACAAAUGCUAAUACCGUAUAAUAAUUAAAACCGCAUGGUUUUAGUUUAAAAGAUGGUCUUGCUAUCACUAAGAGAUGGUCCCGCGGUGUAUUAGUUAGUUGGUGAGGUAAUGGCUCACCAAGACAAUGAUACAUAGCCGAGUUGAGAGACUGACCGGCCACAAUGGGACUGAGACACGGCCCAUACUCCUACGGGAGCAGCAGUAGGGAAUCUUCACAAUAGGACGAAAGUACUGAUGGAGCAACGCCGCGUGUGUGAUGAA